UGUCCAGACUCCUACGGGAGGCAGCAGUGGGGAAUAUUGCACAAUGGGGGAAACCCUGAUGCAGCGACGCCGCGUGGGUGAAGAAGUAUUUCGGUAUGUAAAGCUCUAUCAGCAGGGAAGAAAUAGCGACCUUUGGGUCGCCAGACGGUACCUGAUUAAGAAGCCCCGGCUAACUACGUGCCAGCAGCCGCGGUAAUACGUAGAGGGCAAGCGUUAUCCGGAUUUAUUGGGUUUAAAGGGUGCGUAGGCGGCGCUUCAGGUCAGCGGUGAAAUACCGGGGCUCAACCCCGGGGCUGCCGUUGAAACCGGAGCGCUAGAAUUCCGAUGCCGUCGGAGGAAUGUGUGGUGUAGCGGUGAAAUGCAUAGAUAUCACGCAGAACUCCGAUUGCGAAGGCAGCAUACCGGCGCCCGACUGACGCUGAGGCACGAAAGCGUGGGGAUCGAACAGGAUUAGAUACCCGGGUA
RNAcentral lists this ribosomal RNA (465 nucleotides) under uncultured bacterium. RNAcentral's name for it is "bacterial SSU rRNA". It matches the Rfam family "Bacterial small subunit ribosomal RNA", at positions 328 to 792 of the family's 1533-position model. The record is from RNAcentral.